GCAAGUCGAGGGGCAGCAUAUCACUUCGGUGAUGAUGGCGACCGGCGCACGGGUGAGUAUCGCGUUUGUAACCUACCCUUAACUGGAAGAUAGCCCGGAGAAAUCCGGAUUAAUACUCCAUAAUAUUUAAGCACGGCAUCGUGCUUUCAUUAAAGCUCAGGCGGUUAAGGAUGGGCAUGCGUGACAUUAGUUUGUUGGUAAGGUAACGGCUUACCAAGACUACGAUGUCUAGGGGGUCUGAGAGGAUGAUC
This 251-nucleotide ribosomal RNA is filed under the name uncultured bacterium. Its description in RNAcentral is "partial 16S ribosomal RNA". It matches the Rfam family "Bacterial small subunit ribosomal RNA", at positions 57 to 305 of the family's 1533-position model. The record is from RNAcentral.